AACAGGAUUAGAUACCCUGGUAGUCCAUGCCGUAAACGAUGAGUGCUAAGUGUUGGAGGGUUUCCGCCCUUCAGUGCUGCAGCUAACGCAUUAAGCACUCCGCCUGGGGAGUACGACCGCAAGGUUGAAACUCAAAGGAAUUGACGGGGGCCCGCACAAGCGGUGGAGCAUGUGGUUUAAUUCGAUGCUACGCGAAGAACCUUACCAGGUCUUGACAUCUUCUGCCAACCUAAGAGAUUAGGCGUUCCCUUCGGGGACAGAAUGACAGGUCGUGCAUGGUUGUCGUCAGCUCGUGUCGUGAGAUGUUGGGUUAAGUCCCGCAACGAGCGCAACCCUUAUUGUUAGUUGCCAGCAUUCAGUUGGGCACUCUAGCAAGACUGCCGGUGACAAACCGGAGGAAGGUGGGGAUGACGUCAAAUCAUCAUGCCCCUUAUGACCUGGGCUACACACGUGCUACAAUGGACGGUACAACGAGUCGCGAAACCGCGAGGUCAAGCUAAUCUCUUAAAGCCGUUCUCAGUUCGGAUUGCAGGCUGCAACUCGCCUGCAUGAAGUUGGAAUCGCUAGUAAUCGUGGAUCAGCAUGCCACGGUGAAUACGUUCCCGGGCCUUGUACACACCGCCCGUCACACCAUGAGAGUUUGUAACACCCAAAGCCGGCGAGGUAACCUUCGGGGACCAGCCGUCUAAGGUGGGACAGAUGAUUAGGGUGAAGUCGUAACAAGGUAACC
This 730-nucleotide ribosomal RNA is filed under the name uncultured bacterium. RNAcentral describes it as "bacterial SSU rRNA". It matches the Rfam family "Bacterial small subunit ribosomal RNA", at positions 771 to 1501 of the family's 1533-position model. The record is from RNAcentral.